AUGUCUGGCAGCUUCGUGUUCCUCCCCAGCCAGGCGGUGGCGAACAUGAUGCGGCGAUGGAACUACAGGGAAGGCUCAGGUCUCGGCAUGCAGGGGCAAGGGAUCGUCGUACCUAUACAAGUCGUCGUGCGGGUGCGGCGGCAUCCAAAGGUCGGCCUUGGCUACCGUGAGAAACCAUACCACAAUGGUCUCCACGUGCCGUCGGAGCCGCCCGUGGAGGAGGAAUGCCGUGAGUGGGAGGAUAUUGGACAGGCUAUGCGGCUCGAAACGGACUGCUGCGAGCCGAUCCUCGCGCUCCUGCUUGACAUGAGGCUUCAAGGGACAACAGCGUGGAGACGGCGGAUGCGCUGA
Molecule: ribosomal RNA, 351 nt
Filed under: Triticum aestivum (bread wheat)
Lineage: Eukaryota; Viridiplantae; Streptophyta; Magnoliopsida; Poales; Poaceae
Description: partial small subunit ribosomal RNA
Source: RNAcentral